Molecule: ribosomal RNA, 397 nt
Filed under: uncultured bacterium
Lineage: Bacteria
Description: bacterial SSU rRNA
Rfam family: Bacterial small subunit ribosomal RNA
Source: RNAcentral
AUUGAACGCUGGCGGCAGGCCUAACACAUGCAAGUCGAGCGGUAACAGAAAGUAGCUUGCUACUUUGCUGACGAGCGGCGGACGGGUGAGUAAUGCUUGGGAACAUGCCUUGAGGUGGGGGACAACAGUUGGAAACGACUGCUAAUACCGCAUAAUGUCUACGGACCAAAGGGGGCUUCGGCUCUCGCCUUUAGAUUGGCCCAAGUGGGAUUAGCUAGUUGGUGAGGUAAUGGCUCACCAAGGCGACGAUCCCUAGCUGGUUUGAGAGGAUGAUCAGCCACACUGGGACUGAGACACGGCCCAGACUCCUACGGGAGGCAGCAGUGGGGAAUAUUGCACAAUGGGCGCAAGCCUGAUGCAGCCAUGCCGCGUGUGUGAAGAAGGCCUCGGUUGUAAG